UACGGAGGAUGCGAGCGUUAUCCGGAUUUAUUGGGUUUAAAGGGUGCGUAGGCGGGAUGCCAAGUCAGCGGUAAAAAUGCGGUGCUCAACGCCGUCGAGCCGUUGAAACUGGCGUUCUUGAGUGGGCGAGAAGUAUGCGGAAUGCGUGGUGUAGCGGUGAAAUGCAUAGAUAUUACGCAGAACUCCGAUUGCGAAGGCAGCAUACCGGCGCCCUACUGACGCUGAGGCACGAAAGCGUGGGUAUCGAACAGG
This 252-nucleotide ribosomal RNA is filed under the name uncultured bacterium. RNAcentral describes it as "partial 16S ribosomal RNA". It matches the Rfam family "Bacterial small subunit ribosomal RNA", at positions 524 to 776 of the family's 1533-position model. The record is from RNAcentral.